RNAcentral lists this ribosomal RNA (379 nucleotides) under uncultured eukaryote. RNAcentral's name for it is "partial 18S ribosomal RNA". It matches the Rfam family "Eukaryotic small subunit ribosomal RNA", at positions 592 to 976 of the family's 1831-position model. The record is from RNAcentral.
CAAUAGCGUAUAUUUAAGUUGUUGCAGUUAAAAAGCUCGUAGUUGGAUUUCGGAUGGGACUUGCCGGUCCGUCGUUUCGAUGUGCACUGGCCAGUCCUAUCUUGUUGUCGGGGACUAGCUCCUGGGCUUCACUGUCCGGGACUAGGAGCUGACGAGGUUACUUUGAGUAAAUUAGAGUGUUCAAAGCAAGCCUACGCUCUGAAUACAAUAGCAUGGGAUAACACGACAGGACUCUGGCCUAUCGUGUUGGUCUAUAGGACCAGAGUAAUGAUUAAGAGGGACAGUCGGGGGCAUUCGUAUUCCGUUGUCAGAGGUGAAAUUCUUGGAUUUACGGAAGACGAACAUCUGCGAAAGCAUUUGCCAAGGAUGUUUUCAUUGA